UUUUAUCUGUUUUAUUAGCAAACAUUCAGUAAUUCUUUUAUAUCUUGAGAAAUAUCUGAUCUAAUGCAAGAUAUUUCCAUCUGUUUUUGAACUGUUAAUAUAUCGUUUGUCAUACUGUUUAACUUAUCUUUAGGUCUUACUCGGCAUUGGGGAGAUAAUUUCUUCUAGGUCCUGUCCUAAGGUACUUCUGUUGAUUGGUUCUCAUGAUAGAGAGACAAGUGGCUUCUCUGCGUCUUCUUUUGUUACGGCUAUUACAGAUGCUCUGAAUCGUACAUAUGGAGAUUCUCAUAAUUGUUUAAGAAACCUUCCAAGUCAGUACAUCAAUACACUUUUGGUGCCCAAAGAUGGUGAAAUCCCCAUAGACAUCCAAGGCUUGUCUUCCCAAGGAAUCUUUGACGUGGUAUGUUUGCCUACAACCAUAAUCCUAUUCUUAUCAAACCAAUUUCUUACCAUUUCUAAUGGGAACUGACUCAUAUGGUCAUGCACUGAGUUAGUUCUAUUAAGUCAGUUUCUUAUGAGGAGAAC
Long non-coding RNA from Hibiscus syriacus, 525 nucleotides. RefSeq lists it as uncharacterized. The record is from RefSeq and is a predicted model, not a curated record. The transcript is spliced from 3 exons. Lineage: Eukaryota; Viridiplantae; Streptophyta; Magnoliopsida; Malvales; Malvaceae.